GGGGAUGUAGCUCAGUUGGCUAGAGUGCUUGACUGGCAGUCAAGAGGUCACGGGUUCGAAUCCCGUCUUCUCCACUA
RNAcentral lists this transfer RNA (77 nucleotides) under Neotamlana nanhaiensis. RNAcentral describes it as "Tamlana nanhaiensis tRNA-Ala". It matches the Rfam family "tRNA". Rfam says of the family: Transfer RNA (tRNA) molecules are approximately 80 nucleotides in length. Their secondary structure includes four short double-helical elements and three loops (D, anti-codon, and T loops). The record is from RNAcentral. Lineage: Bacteria; Pseudomonadati; Bacteroidota; Flavobacteriia; Flavobacteriales; Flavobacteriaceae. RNAcentral also lists the same sequence under 1 other name.